CGGCGUGCCUAAUACAUGCAAGUCGAACGCUUCUUUUCCCACCGGAGCUUGCUCCACCGGGAAAAGAGGAGUGGCGAACGGGUGAGUAACACGUGGGUAACCUGCCCAUCAGAAGGGGAUAACACUUGGAAACAGGUGCUAAUACCGUAUAACAAUCGAAACCGCAUGGUUUCGUUUUGAAAGGCGCUUUACGGUGCCGCUGAUGGAUGGACCCGCGGUGCAUUAGCUAGUUGGUGAGGUAACGGCUCACCAAGGCCACGAUGCAUAGCCGACCUGAGAGGGUGAUCGGCCACAUUGGGACUGAGACACGGCCCAAACUCAUACGGGAGGCAGCAGUAGGGAAUCUUCGGCAAUGGACGAAAGUCUGACCGAGCAACGCCGCGUGAGUGAAGAAGGUUUUCGGAUCGUAAAACUCUGUUGUUAGAGAAGAACAAGGGUGAGAGUAACUGUUCACCCCUUGACGGUAUCUAACCAGAAAGCCACGGCUAACUACGUGCCAGCAGCCGCGGUAAUACGUAGGUGGCAAGCGUUGUCCGGAUUUAUUGGGCGUAAAGCGAGCGCAGGCGGUUUCUUAAGUCUGAUGUGAAAGCCCCCGGCUCAACCGGGGAGGGUCAUUGGAAACUGGGAGACUUGAGUGCAGAAGAGGAGAGUGGAAUUCCAUGUGUAGCGGUGAAAUGCGUAGAUAUAUGGAGGAACACCAGUGGCGAAGGCGGCUCUCUGGUCUGUAACUGACGCUGAGGCUCGAAAGCGUGGGGAGCAAACAGGAUUAGAUACCCUGGUAGUCCACGCCGUAAACGAUGAGUGCUAAGUGUUGGAGGGUUUCCGCCCUUCAGUGCUGCAGCUAACGCAUUAAGCACUCCGCCUGGGGAGUACGACCGCAAGGUUGAAACUCAAAGGAAUUGACGGGGGCCCGCACAAGCGGUGGAGCAUGUGGUUUAAUUCGAAGCAACGCGAAGAACCUUACCAGGUCUUGACAUCCUUUGACCACUCUAGAGAUAGAGCUUCCCCUUCGGGGGCAAAGUGACAGGUGGUGCAUGGUUGUCGUCAGCUCGUGUCGUGAGAUGUUGGGUUAAGUCCCGCAACGAGCGCAACCCUUAUUGUUAGUUGCCAUCAUUUAGUUGGGCACUCUAGCAAGACUGCCGGUGACAAACCGGAGGAAGGUGGGGAUGACGUCAAAUCAUCAUGCCCCUUAUGACCUGGGCUACACACGUGCUACAAUGGGAAGUACAACGAGUCGCGAAGUCGCGAGGCUAAGCUAAUCUCUUAAAGCUUCUCUCAGUUCGGAUUGUAGGCUGCAACUCGCCUACAUGAAGCCGGAAUCGCUAGUAAUCGCGGAUCAGCACGCCGCGGUGAAUACGUUCCCGGGCCUUGUACACACCGCCCGUCACACCACGAGAGUUUGUAACACCCGAAGUCGGUGAGGUAACCUUUUUGGAGCCAGCCGCCUAAGGUGGGAUAGAUGAUUGGGGUGAAGUCGU
This 1478-nucleotide ribosomal RNA is filed under the name Enterococcus mundtii. RNAcentral's name for it is "bacterial SSU rRNA". It matches the Rfam family "Bacterial small subunit ribosomal RNA". The record is from RNAcentral. Lineage: Bacteria; Bacillati; Bacillota; Bacilli; Lactobacillales; Enterococcaceae.